UUUAGCAUAUUAUCACACUACCUAAAAAAAAGUUAAUUUUAUACAGUUUUCUAUAAACAUAUCGAAUAAUAAAUAUAUUUAUAUAAAUUUCAAUAUUUUAUAUUUAUUUUUGUAGAAGUCCAGUGAUACUUAUAUUUGCUCUUUUAUUAUCAUUAGAGCACUAUUUAUUUUUUAACAGAAGAUAAGUAAAAUAAUAUUUUGAACAUUACAAAUAUGUUAAUUCAAAAUUUUCAACUGUUAGAACUAUACAGAAAUGUUCCUCCAAAAAUUUUCAAUAGCCAUCUUCUUCCAUUCUACCAUCACAAAUAAUAGAAGGGUAGAAUUAAGGCUUCGUUUGAAAUUGCGGGAAGAUUGCGUAACAUGCGAUGAGAAUGUAUGAUGGAAAAACACCAUGUUUGUUUCUCUACGUAAAUUGUGUUCUGCAUAUCACAAUGAGUCGGUUACGAUAUAUAUUUUCUAUGGUCCUACCGGAGAACAUAGAAGUAUAUCCCUAUAUACUUUUAUUCCAACUCUAUUUUAUCUAAUAGCGUCAGAUAGGCCUCAAUACCAAACAAAACCUAAGUAUUUUACUUAUGAUUUUAACUACAUUUUUCUUAUGAAUCCUAGCAAGGGGGGCUGAUAAAUAUGAAAAGUUGAACUUUGAAGGAAUAUAUUUGCUAUUCGAUAAGUUUACAGGAAACUGUACGCAAUUAAUUCUAAAAUUUAAUAAUAGUAUUUGGAGUUUAGUAAUUAGUAUAAAAAAUAUACUAAUAAUAUUGUCAUGUCAUCAAUAUUUUAACUUUUUAAGAUAUCUUUCUAGGGUAUAUGUAGCAGCAGUUUUUAGUUAUUUCGGAAUAGUUUGAGAUAAGCUAUCCGCCUUGAUGGAAUUAUGCUAUCAUAAGGUAUAGUUCUAAAAAUUAUUAAGAUUAUAAAUUAAAUUAAAAUAGAUUAUAAAAACAUAAUAUAUUAUAUAUUAUAUAGUAAAUUAUUUUAUUAUAAAAAUUAUUAAUUGUACUAUAUUAUCACAUAUUAUUAUAAAAUAUUAUAAAUAUUACAAUAAAUUAUAUAAAUUUAAAGUUUAAGAAAUUUUUUUAAAAAAAUAGUAUUAUAUUUUAAACAUUCUUUUAUCUAAUAUAUCUAAUGUCUAAUUUAUAAUUAAAUAUUAAUCAUAUUUUAUACCAAAUUCAACUGUUAUUUUUUAUUAUCAUAUACGAUUCUAUAAAAUUAACCAAUCGUGGUUAUUCCUGAAAAUAACAACAUUACAAAUCAAACACAAUUUUACUUUUAUUUCUCGCUAUUUUGGAAUAGUAAACUAUUUCAGAAAUAAAAAGAAUUAUCUCAUACCCUAUUUGAAUAUUGCAAUAAGAUAUCUAAUAAAGAGUUUGAUUAUUUUACUUAAAAAAUUUUGGUUCUCAAACUAUAAGGCGGAUGAUAUUUUAGUUUCCGAAUUUUAAUUUAUUAUAAUUAUUUACUUAAAUUUUUAGAAUUAUUGUUAUUAAAUUCUAAAUAAUCUAGUUUAUUUGGCUAAAUAUUAAUAUAUCUUUAAUAUAAAAAAAUUGUAAUGAUAUUGUGAUUGACAAUACGUCUACAGCUAAGAUGUCACACCACUUUUAUAUCAAUAAAGUUGAGCUGGAAUGCUAUCGGUAGCAAACGGGCUCCAUUGCCACCCAUUUGUUUUCGAUGUUGGAGCCUUCAAAUCGAUGAUUGGCGCCGUUGAAUAUGAUUUAUACCACUUGAAGCAUUUAGAAACCAAAUUUCAAAUCUUUUCAACAUCAUUGACCGAAUGAUCAAAGGGUUUCAAAAUUUGCAAUUUUAAUGGUAGAUAUGAAGUGUUUUCUCGUUUAUGGGUGUAAAGCUAUCAAAGUCAAUUGAAUUUUGGUUAGAAAAUUCUUUAAACUAUUUAGAACAAGAUUUAUACUCUCGAUCUUGAUUACAAAAUUUCUAUCAUCACUUUUUAGAGAAUAUUCAUUUUCAGCCGUUUAUUUUUACGCCCACUUGAUGGACAAAAAAAUAAUAUUGAAAAAGCAUAAAAUUUAAUUUCUAAAUACUUCAAAUGGUAUAGUUCAUUUUCAAUAGUGUCGAUCGUCGAUUUGAAAGCUUUAUUACCGAAAACAAAUGGCUAGCAACGGAGCCCGUUUGCUACCGAUAGCAUUCCAGCUCAACUCUAUAUCAAUGAUACUUUAAUAUUUAGUUUACUAAAUUAGAUCGUUUGUUUUGAUUGUAAUAAUUCAGAAGUUUGAGGAAUUUAUAAAUAAACUAAAGUUUGAGCACCAAAAUAUUACACAGCUUGUAAUUUUAGGACUACACACUCAAUUUUAAUGUGUAUGAUACACACAUGCCCAUCUAAUGGAUGGAUUUAUUUUACUAGUCACAUCAUGUGAUAAGUGAAGAUACUCCACCUAUUGGAUAGAAUAUAAUAAUUUCUAAAAUCUAUUCCUAUUUAUUAUUUCUCAAAAAUCUUGCCACAUGGCACAUUCUCUUUGAGAAAUUUGUUGGACCCUCCAA
This 2484-nucleotide long non-coding RNA is filed under the name Ananas comosus (pineapple). RNAcentral describes it as "long non-coding RNA (ACOM_LNC020137)". Lineage: Eukaryota; Viridiplantae; Streptophyta; Magnoliopsida; Poales; Bromeliaceae. The record is from RNAcentral.